UGAGGUAGGAGGUUGUAUAGUUGAGGAGGACACCCACGGAGAUCACUAUACGGCCUCCUAGCUUUCC
Molecule: microRNA precursor, 67 nt
Filed under: Canis lupus familiaris (dog)
Lineage: Eukaryota; Metazoa; Chordata; Mammalia; Carnivora; Canidae
Also listed under: 2 other names
Description: Canis familiaris let-7e stem-loop (cfa-let-7e)
Gene: cfa-let-7e
Source: miRBase by way of RNAcentral